UAUCAUAGCCAUAUCUACCUGCUGCUCAAGACCGGUUACUCACUGAAGCUAAGCAAGGCUGGGCCUGGUCAGUACCUGGAUGGGAGACCCAAUGGGAAAACUAGGUUUCUGUUGGAA
This is a ribosomal RNA of Danio rerio (zebrafish), 117 nucleotides long. The record is from Ensembl. NCBI's taxonomy places the organism in Eukaryota, Metazoa, Chordata, Actinopteri, Cypriniformes, Danionidae.